This 376-nucleotide ribosomal RNA is filed under the name uncultured bacterium. RNAcentral's name for it is "bacterial SSU rRNA". It matches the Rfam family "Bacterial small subunit ribosomal RNA", at positions 524 to 898 of the family's 1533-position model. The record is from RNAcentral.
UACAUAAGGAGCAAGCGUUAUCCGGAAUUACUGGGCGUAAAGAGCUCGUAGGCGGUCCGAAAAGUCCGGUGUAAAAUCAUCAGGCUCAACCUGAUAAGGUCAUCGGAAACUCCCGGACUUGAGGGUAGGAGAGGAAAGUGGAAUUCCCGGUGCAGCGGUGAAAUGCGUAGAUAUCGGGAGGAACACCAGUGGCGAAGGCGGCUUUCUGGCCUAUCUCUGACGCUGAGGAGCGAAAGCUAGGGGAGCAAACAGGAUUAGAUACCCUGGUAGUCCUAGCCCUAAACUAUGGAUACUGGGUGUGGGAGGUAUCGACCCCUUCUGUGCCGCAGCUAACGCAUUAAGUAUCCCGCCUGGGGAGUACGGUCGCAAGGCUAAA